GUAACAGAACAAUAUAAGAAAAUAUACAAUUUUUAUUGUAUUUUUAGGAUUUUACGAGUGCUUCAAAUUUUUGGAGCUUAAGCCUUUGUCGUAUGGAUUCAGAUCGAGACAAUAAAACAAACGGAGAGGAACUAGGAGAUCCUAAUUGUGUAUGGUUUGAAGGACAAACUCCAUCUGACACACCUAUGAGCCAUCCUGGUAAGCAUACACAUGGAAACAUAAACGUAUCAAUAACAUAUGUAAAUGGACUAAGAACGAUCUUAUUUUUGAUAAUAAAUUAUUAAUGUUUUGCUAUUUCAUAUUAUAGAAAUACUAAUUGCUUAAACACCAGAACAUCGAGUUGAUUCAUACGAAUGCCGUUUUAUUUGUGUAUGGACAAUUUCACAAUAAAAUCUAUGACAAACCGGACGAUUUCAACUGCCCAAUUGAUCUAUUUCCAAUUUUCAAUUUCUCAGCAGUUACAUCUGGUAUCUUUCGUCCUUUUUUACAUACCCUCUGCCCUAUCGUAGUUUGUUAACAUAUCUUAGUUGAUACGUUAUUCUCGUACAUGUUCAUAAUGUACGGAAUCCAUAUACAGGAUUGUGCUCAUUAUGUAGAAACUGCUCCAAAAAAUUAUAAGGGGGAAAUAUUAAAAAUGACAAUCCGUAAAUGUCAUGAACACCAUCACGAAUUGAUUGAUGUAAGCGAUGUGUCCGUGUCUUAAGGAUGUACUUAGGUGAGGUUUUGAAUUUGUGUCAAAUGUUCGAACUCCUUGGUGUUUUUCCAUACAAUACAGUGUAAAAUAUUUUGCCUCAUAACACCCAUUUAUUUUUUCAUAUAAAACUUAAUAGCUCACGAAUGGUCAUUUACCAAAAUUUUAAAAGAUUCUUGAUUUUCUUUCUUUUGUUUUGAGACCCAAAUAAGACCAAUGCAAAUAUAAGGUAAAAGUCCGAGUCAGCCUUUUCCCGCCAUAUUUUAAACCUCAAAUAUCUCGAAAAGGAGGUCCAUGACCUAUCAAUAUUUUUAGCUUAUUUUUAGCCUUGAUUGAUGCUCUACCAGCUUAUAGUAUCAAUUUUAAUUUCUUAAUUUCUUAAUUUUUACCUAACCUCACUUAAGUACAUCCUUAAAUAACUAAGUAUAAAUAAAGAAGAUGUGGUAUGAUUACCGGUGAGACAACUCUCCACAAGAGACCAAAGUGACACACAACAACUAUAGGAUCGUACGGCCUUCCACAAUGACCAAAGCCCAUACCGCCAAGCCAGGUAUAAAAGACCCCGAAAUGAUAAUGAAAAACAAUUCAAACGAAAAAUCUAACGGCCUAAUUUAUGUACAAAAGAUGAACGAAAAACAAAUAUAACACAUAAAACAAACGACAACUAUUAAAUAACAGGCACCUGCCUUGGGACAGGUUCAUAUAUACAGACUAUGGCGGGGUUAAACAUGAUAGCGGGAUCCAAACUCCACUUUACUCGGGACAGUGGUAUAUCAGUACAACAUAAGAACGAACUAUAAAAAUCAGUUGUAAAAAGCUCAGAUGGAUAAAAAUAAGGACAUUUUUUUACCACGUUUUAGAUUGCGGUUCACCAUUUACAACGUCUGGUCCGUUAAGUACCGAUCAUGACCAUACUCAAAUAUGAUUGAAUGUUAAUUCGAAUUGCUUUAAGACGUGCCGUGGUAUUCUAUCCAACUUUCAUGUAUAUAGAUAUGAUGUGGAAUUAUGUAAUUCUAAUCGUAUAUAAUUUAAAUGGUUUAUCGUUUGUACAUGUACAUGUUGUAGUUGUUCAUUUUUAGGUCUUUCCACCUUUCCGUGGAAAGACCUAUCGGAUUUCUUUUGAUUAUUUUUUCUCCUUCGCUGUUUUUUUGUUUCGCAAGAUGUCGCUUAGAAAUUUGGAAUAUGAUAUCGAACAGUUUAUAUGCUUUUGAAACCAACUCUGCUUAACCGAAUACUUUCCCAUAUAAGAGUUAUCUCCCCAAACACUGUUUUUCUUGUUAUCUCUAAGGCUUCGCAACCGUAUAAGAAACCGACAAAUUUAUUUUUCCAAAUUGCUUGUUAUAUCCUCAGGAUGUUCUGUUUUAUUUUGACUGAAGCCGUAUCGAGAUUCCAUAUGAAAGUUAUUUCCCCUUUUGUAUUUGAAAUUUUGAAAUGUAUUUUUAACUGGAAAACUAUAAGUGAUAGAGGCCUAUGGUCUUUAUAUUUGAGGUCCUUGGUCCCAAAAAAAUAAAAUGAGGUCAAGGUCAAAGGUCAAGGUCAUGUUCAAAAUUUUGAUUUUGGCUUGUUAUCUCUCAUUUUCAGAAAUCUUAUAAGAUAUCGACAAAAAAUUUUCACACAAUUGUUAGUUGCGACAUGUUGUAACACGUAAGUUGUAGUCGUAAAGGUACGUAAACAUUUAAUGCGAGUUUUCCCCCUUUUAUAUCUAAUAUCAGUCAUAUGGUAAUAUAACUCAUUAACAAUAUAAAGUAGAGACCUAGAGUCUUUUGAUUUGAGGUCCUUGGUUUAUGACCUUGAAAUUGAGCUCAAGGUCAUAUGUUAAUUUAACGUUGUAAAUUUUGACCUUUGCUUUUACCUCAUAUGUACACAUGAUUAAGCCAUGGGACUUUUUGCAUUAGGUUGUAAGCAAUGUGACCUUAAAAAAUACACCCGGAAGUGACCUUUUGUAAACCGGAAGUAGCUAUUUUUUGUACUAAAUCAAUGUAAAAGUAUAUAGAACCAUUUAUUUUUGGAAUCAGUGUCAAGUAAACUAUCAAACAAUACCAGAAGUAACAACUUUUAAACUGGAAGUAAAAGAUAAACUCCCUUAUUUAUAUCUUUUUUAUAUAGAAACCAUAUAUUUUUGGAAUAAGCAUACAAUAAGCUGUCAUUUGACGCUGAAACUUACAUUUAAAAUCAAAUUUUAAUAUUUUCAUUUUUAAAUAGAUCUUAACUGGUGGAAAGACCUUCAAUUGUUCUCUGAACAAUUGGUUUUUAAUUUUAUUUUCUAUUCGUAUGUAAAAAAAAACUAAAAGAUUAAUCACCCAGUUCAUUUAUAAGAUUUUACUUGAAAGCAACUAUAUGAACACGAUUAUUUUUUAACGUUUUACAUUUUUAAAUAAGAAUACCGACAUAGCUAGAUGAUACAAUUAGUUAUCUUAUUUCUAACAUAAUUUUAUAUCAGUAUUCUUGAAAUUUUUAUUUCUUUUUUUACAUCAAAUGACAUAGUUACAUUUGUCCAAACCUGAUCCUGAACUGUGGCAAAUAUUAAGAAAUUUACAUGUGACAUCACUUUUGUAGCAUUGAUCUAGUCGUGUGAAAGACAGUUCGUAGUUCUGUUGUGCUGUCCUAUGUUGUUUUACGUAUUUUUUUUCUGUGAUUAGCAUGUCGAAAUGUACUAUUUGUAUUGUAUAUUUGUGUAUUUCUCUGUCUUGAAUGUUCUUGUUAUAGUUCGUUUCCGUGUGUGUUGCAUUGUUUGUUUUUUUUUUUUUUGUUCACUUUUAUAGUUGAUGUGUUUCCCUCGGUUUUAGUUUGUAACCCGGAUUUGUUUUUUUGUUUUUUUUUCUCUACCGAUUUAUGACUUUCAAACAGCAGUAUACCUCUAUUUACAUUGAUAUUCCACAAAGAUUGUGCUUUCUAUCGCCUUUAUGUCUCGUCUAAUUCGUCAUAAAAAUCAACUUUGUCUGGCGUGUCCAUCUCAUGGGCAUUAAAUCUUCAACAGUUACAUGCGUAAAAUAAUGUCUAAACAGUCAUACCAAAUGAAAUUACAAAUAAUGUUAUAUUGAAUUUCAAUUCUCAGUUCUAUAAUUCAAAGUUUUAAAGAUAUUUUGGUAGAAUACAAGUCAAUAUUUAUCAAGUUUGAUUCCUCCCCCUUGACUCUCCUUUUUUUAGAUACACCAAAGUAACAAUAAUAUUCGUCGAAGAUUCUAAAUUUAUUAAAAUAUCUGAUUUUUGAACAAGCAGUUUUUAAUGAAGACCCUUCCAAUUGCCAUUUGUAGCCCUAUAACAGAGAUGACACAUAGUUCAUGCGUACAGUAUUAUAUCAGAGUAUAACAUGGCAUGUAUUAUCAGCCAAAGCUUCAAUAUCAAACAAAGGGCAGAAGGCUAGAGAGUGAUGAUAGCACAUCUGAUAUGAAAAUUGUCAUGUUUUGACCUUUUUAUCAUAUGCUUCAACAAUGACGAAAACUAACAGUUUAAUAUAGUGAUCUUUUAAUGUGGUAUUCAAGCAGAAGCUCAACACAUUUUAUCAUAUACUUCAGCAGAAAGUAUAUAUACAAAAGCUUUUUUAUAAAACUUUCAAAAUAUAAUUUCCAUUACUCAACAUAUUCUUUCCUGUUUGCUUAUAUUUUUUUCUAUAGUACUUUGUUACGCUUUUUACCGCUAACAUACUAUUAAGGCUUAUUUUCCGGAAUUUGCUGAUUGACCUCGUUUCAGAAUCUACUGAAUUCUGGUUUGUAGUUUUACAAGUGUACAACAAAACGUUGUGAUUGGUUAAAAACGACACAAACAAUAAAACUUGAACCAAUGACAUACCAUCGUUUUCAUUUUGGUGUAGGAACAACAAGAUUACCCAAGGUCAUUUAGAUUCGUAAAAGGCUAGAUGCCAUUCGAUAACGUUACGGACUGGCAUGCGAUUAUAGCCAGAAGCAGUUGAUAAAGGUUUUUGCUCUAAGUAUAUGAUAAGCAUGUGUAUCAUGCAUGAUGUUUACAUUAUGCAAAGUUUCAGUCAAACCUUUUCGGGCGUAUUGAAUGAAACAAAUAAAGAUAAGUCUGUUGUGUGAACUAAUGUAUUAUGGUUUUUCGUCAUCUUAGACGCAAAUAUUCAUAACACAUCACUCAAAUUUUCAGCACUCUUUUUGUAUCAUUAAAAGGUACAUUAUAGGGAUAAUGAUCAUAGGUGCCCUAAAAAGAAAUACACGAGACGAACGCUAUUUUUUUAUUGUUGUUUUGCUGAUAUUGAAACAAUUUCCAGUAAAAUAAAUGAUGAACAGAUAGUUAUUUCAGAAUGGCAAUAGUGUAACAUGCGCUUAAUUCCGUGUGAUAAAUUAAUCAGAAGUGUCCAUAAUAUUAAAUUGUUCAUGUGAGCUAUCAUGUUAUUUUCUUAUUUUGUAGGUAUUUGUGAACCGGUUGGCCAUCCCGAGUGCCUAAGACAACAAGGUUUUACCUGCGAUCAAAUGGAAAACAGCCCUCAUCUUAAACCAUAACACUUAUGUUGUCUACUACAAAUUCAUCGAUGUCUUAUUCCUGCUUUUCAAAUAAAGAUCAAGAGACUUAAUAAUAUUAAAAAGUUUCCAA
Molecule: long non-coding RNA, 5242 nt
Filed under: Mytilus galloprovincialis (Mediterranean mussel)
Lineage: Eukaryota; Metazoa; Mollusca; Bivalvia; Mytilida; Mytilidae
Source: RNAcentral